Molecule: ribosomal RNA, 495 nt
Filed under: uncultured bacterium
Lineage: Bacteria
Description: partial 16S ribosomal RNA
Rfam family: Bacterial small subunit ribosomal RNA
Source: RNAcentral
GACGAACGCUGGCGGCGUGCCUAAUACAUGCAAGUAGAACGCUGAAGGAGGAGCUUGCUCUUCUGGAUGAGUUGCGAACGGGUGAGUAACGCGUAGGUAACCUGCCUGGUAGCGGGGGAUAACUAUUGGAAACGAUAGCUAAUACCGCAUAACAGUAGAUGUUGCAUGACAUUUGCUUAAAAGGUGCAAUUGCAUCACUACCAGAUGGACCUGCGUUGUAUUAGCUAGUUGGUGGGGUAACGGCUCACCAAGGCGACGAUACAUAGCCGACCUGAGAGGGUGAGCGGCCACACUGGGACUGAGACACGGCCCAGACUCCUACGGGAGGCAGCAGUAGGGAAUCUUCGGCAAUGGACGGAAGUCUGACCGAGCAACGCCGCGUGAGUGAAGAAGGUUUUCGGAUCGUAAAGCUCUGUUGUAAGAGAAGAACGAGUGUGAGAGUGGAAAGUUCACACUGUGACGGUAGCUUACCAGAAAGGGACGGCUAACUACGUG